GCAACCCGCCCACAUGAAGUCGGAGUUGCUAGUAAUCCCGAAUCAGCAUGUCGGGGUGAAUGCGUUCCCGGGCCUUGUACACACCGCCCGUCACGCCAUGGGAGCUGGUAAUACCCAAAGUCGGUGCACCAACCGCAAGGAGGAAGCCGCCUAAGGUAGGAUCAGUGACUGGGGUGAAGUCGUAACAAGGUACC
Molecule: ribosomal RNA, 194 nt
Filed under: uncultured bacterium
Lineage: Bacteria
Description: partial 16S ribosomal RNA
Rfam family: Bacterial small subunit ribosomal RNA
Source: RNAcentral